GUUGCUUGCACAGUGGAGACCUAGACCAUC
This 30-nucleotide non-coding RNA is filed under the name Mus musculus (house mouse). The record is from RNAcentral. Lineage: Eukaryota; Metazoa; Chordata; Mammalia; Rodentia; Muridae.